AGCCACAGCCAUGUCACCCUGCAACCCAAGACUCACUUGCUACUCACUGAAGCUAAGCAGGUGUGAGCCUGGUCAGUACCUGUAUGGGAGACCACAUGGGAAAGCAUGGUUGCUGUUGGAA
Molecule: ribosomal RNA, 121 nt
Organism: Danio rerio (zebrafish)
Lineage: Eukaryota; Metazoa; Chordata; Actinopteri; Cypriniformes; Danionidae
Source: Ensembl